This 484-nucleotide ribosomal RNA is filed under the name uncultured bacterium. RNAcentral describes it as "partial 16S ribosomal RNA". It matches the Rfam family "Bacterial small subunit ribosomal RNA", at positions 30 to 506 of the family's 1533-position model. The record is from RNAcentral.
AGUGAACGCUGGCGGCAGGCCUAACACAUGCAAGUCGAGCGGCAGCGCGGGGGCAACCCUGGCGGCGAGCGGCGGACGGGUGAGGGAUUCGGCGGAAUCUGCCUUUUUGUGGUGGAUAACGGAGGGAAACUUACGCUAAUACCGCAUACGUCCUACGGGAGAAAGGGGGGGACCGCAAGGCCUCACGCAGAAAGAUGAGCCGACGACCGAUUAGCGAGUUUGUGGGGUAAAGGCCCACCAAGGCGACGAUCGGUAGCUGGUCUGGAGGGGUGAGUGGGCACCACUGGAACUGAGAAACGGCCCAGACUCCUAGGGGAGGAAGCAGUGGGGAAAAUUGGAAAAUGGGGGAAACCCUGAUCAAGCCAUGCCGGGGGUGUGAAGGAGGCCUUCGGGUUGUAAAGCCCUUUUGUGGGGAAAAAAAUCCGUAGAGCUAAAACCUGCGGGGGAUGACGGUACCGGAAGAAUAAGCACCGGCAAACUUCGU